AGCAGUGGCCAAAGUACAAACAUUUGCCCUGGUUCUUUGAGUCUCAGGAAGUUGCACAGGAACCAGGGCAAAUGUUUGUACUCCGGCCGCUGCUGA
RNAcentral lists this microRNA precursor (96 nucleotides) under Homo sapiens (human). RNAcentral describes it as "miAB31_pre". The record is from RNAcentral. Lineage: Eukaryota; Metazoa; Chordata; Mammalia; Primates; Hominidae.